AUUGAACGCUGGCGGCAUGCUUUACACAUGCAAGUCGGACGGUAACAGGCCUUCGGGUGCUGACGAGUGGCGAACGGGCGAGUAAUGCAUCGGAACGUACCCAGCGGUGGGGGAUAACGCAGCGAAAGCUGUCUUAAUACCGCACGUGAUCUGAGGAUGAAAGCCGGGGACCGGGCUGGAAAGUUUGGCCUCGCGCCUUUGGAGCGGCCGAUUUUGGAGUUGCUAGUUGGUGGGGUAUAGGCCUACCCGGGGGACGGUCGGUAGCUUGGCUGAGAGGCCGGCGAGCGACAGUGAGGCUGAGACGCGGCCCGGGCGCCUACGGGAGGCAGCAGUGGGGAAGUGUGGACAAGGGGGGCAAGCCUGAUCCAGCAAUGCCGCGUGGGGGAAGAAGGCCUUCGGGUUGGAAACCGCUUUUGGCGGGAACGAAACGGUGUCCGCUAAUACCGGGCGCUGAGGACGGUACCUGCAGAAGAAGCACCGGCGACUACGU
This 490-nucleotide ribosomal RNA is filed under the name uncultured bacterium. Its description in RNAcentral is "partial 16S ribosomal RNA". It matches the Rfam family "Bacterial small subunit ribosomal RNA", at positions 28 to 506 of the family's 1533-position model. The record is from RNAcentral.